ACGGAAGGCAGCAGUGAGGAAUAUUGGUCAAUGGGCGGAAGCCUGAACCAGCCAAGUCGCGUGAAGGAUGAAGGUAUUAUGUAUUGUAAACUUCUUUAGCCAGGGGGCAAUAAGGCGUACGCGUACGCCGAUGAGAGUACCUGGAGAAUAAGGAUCGGCUAACUCCGUGCCAGCAGCCGCGGUAAUACGGAGGAUCCGAGCGUUAUCCGGAUUUAUUGGGUUUAAAGGGUGCGCAGGCGGAGGAUUAAGUCAGCGGUGAAAUUCUCAUGCUCAACAUGAGAACUGCCAUUGAUACUGGUCCCCUUGAGAGAUGUCGAGGAUGGCGGAAUGUGAUGUGUAGCGGUGAAAUGCUUAGAUAUGUCACAGAACACCGAUUGCGAAGGCAGCUGUCCAGAGAUCAUCUGACGCUCAGGCACGAAAGCAUGGGUAUCAAACAGGAUUAGAUACCCUGGUA
Molecule: ribosomal RNA, 454 nt
Filed under: uncultured bacterium
Lineage: Bacteria
Description: partial 16S ribosomal RNA
Rfam family: Bacterial small subunit ribosomal RNA
Source: RNAcentral